Molecule: ribosomal RNA, 578 nt
Filed under: Lodderomyces parapsilosis
Lineage: Eukaryota; Fungi; Ascomycota; Pichiomycetes; Serinales; Debaryomycetaceae
Description: eukaryotic LSU rRNA
Rfam family: Eukaryotic large subunit ribosomal RNA
Source: RNAcentral
AUAUCAAUAAGCGGAGGAAAAGAAACCAACAGGGAUUGCCUUAGUAGCGGCGAGUGAAGCGGCAAAAGCUCAAAUUUGAAAUCUGGCACUUUCAGUGUCCGAGUUGUAAUUUGAAGAAGGUAUCUUUGGGUCUGGCUCUUGUCUAUGUUUCUUGGAACAGAACGUCACAGAGGGUGAGAAUCCCGUGCGAUGAGAUGUCCCAGACCUAUGUAAAGUUCCUUCGAAGAGUCGAGUUGUUUGGGAAUGCAGCUCUAAGUGGGUGGUAAAUUCCAUCUAAAGCUAAAUAUUGGCGAGAGACCGAUAGCGAACAAGUACAGUGAUGGAAAGAUGAAAAGAACUUUGAAAAGAGAGUGAAAAAGUACGUGAAAUUGUUGAAAGGGAAGGGCUUGAGAUCAGACUUGGUAUUUUGUAUGUUACUCUCUCGGGGGUGGCCUCUACAGUUUACCGGGCCAGCAUCAGUUUGAGCGGUAGGAUAAGUGCAAAGAAAUGUGGCACUGCUUCGGUAGUGUGUUAUAGUCUUUGUCGAUACUGCCAGCUUAGACUGAGGACUGCGGCUUCGACCUAGGAUGUUGGCAUAA